Molecule: signal recognition particle RNA, 97 nt
Filed under: Gammaproteobacteria bacterium
Lineage: Bacteria; Pseudomonadati; Pseudomonadota; Gammaproteobacteria
Also listed under: 1 other name
Description: signal recognition particle sRNA small type
Rfam family: Bacterial small signal recognition particle RNA
About the family: The signal recognition particle (SRP) is a universally conserved ribonucleoprotein involved in the co-translational targeting of proteins to membranes. Archaeal SRP consists of a 7S RNA and homologues of the eukaryotic SRP19 and SRP54 proteins.
Source: RNAcentral
CAUUGGUCCCCUCGCAAUAAUAUGUUGUGAACCCCGUCAGGCCCGGAAGGGAGCAGCGGCAGCAGCGGAUUUAUGUGCCGAGGUGUGGCUGGUGCGG